GCGGCGUGCCUAAUACAUGCAAGUCGAACGAGUUCUCGUUGAUGAUCGGUGCUUGCACCGAGAUUCAACAUGGAACGAGUGGCGGACGGGUGAGUAACACGUGGGUAACCUGCCCUUAAGUGGGGGAUAACAUUUGGAAACAGAUGCUAAUACCGCAUAGAUCCAAGAACCGCAUGGUUCUUGGCUGAAAGAUGGCGUAAGCUAUCGCUUUUGGAUGGACCCGCGGCGUAUUAGCUAGUUGGUGAGGUAAUGGCUCACCAAGGCGAUGAUACGUAGCCGAACUGAGAGGUUGAUCGGCCACAUUGGGACUGAGACACGGCCCAAACUCCUACGGGAGGCAGCAGUAGGGAAUCUUCCACAAUGGACGCAAGUCUGAUGGAGCAACGCCGCGUGAGUGAAGAAGGCUUUCGGGUCGUAAAACUCUGUUGUUGGAGAAGAAUGGUCGGCAGAGUAACUGUUGUCGGCGUGACGGUAUCCAACCAGAAAGCCACGGCUAACUACGUGCCAGCAGCCGCGGUAAUACGUAGGUGGCAAGCGUUAUCCGGAUUUAUUGGGCGUAAAGCGAGCGCAGGCGGUUUUUUAAGUCUGAUGUGAAAGCCCUCGGCUUAACCGAGGAAGCGCAUCGGAAACUGGGAAACUUGAGUGCAGAAGAGGACAGUGGAACUCCAUGUGUAGCGGUGAAAUGCGUAGAUAUAUGGAAGAACACCAGUGGCGAAGGCGGCUGUCUGGUCUGUAACUGACGCUGAGGCUCGAAAGCAUGGGUAGCGAACAGGAUUAGAUACCCUGGUAGUCCAUGCCGUAAACGAUGAAUGCUAGGUGUUGGAGGGUUUCCGCCCUUCAGUGCCGCAGCUAACGCAUUAAGCAUUCCGCCUGGGGAGUACGACCGCAAGGUUGAAACUCAAAGGAAUUGACGGGGGCCCGCACAAGCGGUGGAGCAUGUGGUUUAAUUCGAAGCAACGCGAAGAACCUUACCAGGUCUUGACAUCUUUUGAUCACCUGAGAGAUCAGGUUUCCCCUUCGGGGGCAAAAUGACAGGUGGUGCAUGGUUGUCGUCAGCUCGUGUCGUGAGAUGUUGGGUUAAGUCCCGCAACGAGCGCAACCCUUAUGACUAGUUGCCAGCAUUUAGUUGGGCACUCUAGUAAGACUGCCGGUGACAAACCGGAGGAAGGUGGGGAUGACGUCAAAUCAUCAUGCCCCUUAUGACCUGGGCUACACACGUGCUACAAUGGAUGGUACAACGAGUUGCGAGACCGCGAGGUCAAGCUAAUCUCUUAAAGCCAUUCUCAGUUCGGACUGUAGGCUGCAACUCGCCUACACGAAGUCGGAAUCGCUAGUAAUCGCGGAUCAGCACGCCGCGGUGAAUACGUUCCCGGGCCUUGUACACACCGCCCGUCACACCAUGAGAGUUUGUAACACCCGAAGCCGGUGGCGUAACCCUUUUAGGGAGCGAGCCGUCUAAGGUGGGACAAAUGAUUAGGG
Molecule: ribosomal RNA, 1479 nt
Filed under: Lacticaseibacillus casei
Lineage: Bacteria; Bacillati; Bacillota; Bacilli; Lactobacillales; Lactobacillaceae
Also listed under: 1 other name
Description: Lactobacillus casei 16S ribosomal RNA
Rfam family: Bacterial small subunit ribosomal RNA
Source: RNAcentral